AUGAUCUCCACAGAUUCUAUUUUGCUUUCCCCUCUACCCAUCAGCUGGACCCUGAGGAGCUGGCCCAAAGAAUUGCAAAUAAUGGCAUCCCCUUUAGUUCAGUGGAAUUACUUCAAUUUUUUAAUUUUUUCGACUAAGACAGAAUUGCAAGCUGUGAUCAUGCAGACCACCUAGAUUGUGCAUAUACAAUUCAGAAUUUUACUAGUUAUUUUGUCACCCAGCAAGGUGGAAUGGAAGUGGCACAAGAGAGACUCCCUGGUAGGUCCCUCUGGGUUUUCCUGCAUAAAUCCCAGCACUAGGACUUCAAGGAAGGUUCAGCAGUGGGAAAUGUGCACUGGAGCUACAUGUAGGUCCAAAUUAUCCCAAAGCUUAAAGCAUUGUAAAUACU
RNAcentral lists this long non-coding RNA (388 nucleotides) under Anser brachyrhynchus (Pink-footed goose). Its description in RNAcentral is "lncRNA (ENSABRG00000014427.1)". Lineage: Eukaryota; Metazoa; Chordata; Aves; Anseriformes; Anatidae. The record is from RNAcentral.